RNAcentral lists this long non-coding RNA (368 nucleotides) under Homo sapiens (human). RNAcentral's name for it is "non-protein coding lnc-C5orf60-3:6". Lineage: Eukaryota; Metazoa; Chordata; Mammalia; Primates; Hominidae. The record is from RNAcentral.
CGCGUGUCUAGGUGAGUCGCGGUGGGUCCUCGCUUGCAGUUCAGCGACCACGUUUGUUUCGACGCCGGACCGCGUAAGAGACGAUGAUGUUGGGCACGGAAGGUGGAGAGGGAUUCGUGGUGAAGGUCCGGGGCUUGCCCUGGUCUUGCUCGGCCGAUGAAGUGCAGAGGUUUUUUUCUGGUGAGUUAGAACUAGGACGCGGGAGUUCGAGUUCGAGGCCGGGGCGGGCGGGCUGGCGGGCGGCCGGGCUGGGGCGGGGCGGGGCGGGGCGGGCCGGGCCGGGCCGGGCCGGGUGGGACCCGGGGCGCCCCCUGGCGAGGCGCGGGCGACUACACUCACCGCUGUGCUGCUCGCGCCCGGCGGCCCGC